Long non-coding RNA from Daphnia magna, 1506 nucleotides. RefSeq lists it as uncharacterized. The transcript has 2 exons. NCBI's taxonomy places the organism in Eukaryota, Metazoa, Arthropoda, Branchiopoda, Diplostraca, Daphniidae. The record is from RefSeq and is a predicted model, not a curated record.
AAUUCUGCGACCUCUAGCCUUGGAUGAUGAACUUCUGUCCGUGUCUUUGUUAGUUGGUAGCUCGUUUAGUCCCCAUGGGCGAGGUAAUAAUAAUUAUUUUUCUUUUCGUCGUUACUAUUGGUUACUCUUUGACACAAUUAUAAUUUUUUUAACUAGGUCAUUUUAUUCAUUUUAGCACAAGGUACAUAAAAUCCAAAUAAUCAUUUUUUAAUUCAACGACUUUGAGGUAAACAUUGGCAUGGUAAAUGACAUUGGCCUCAAUUGUGAGCACUUGUGUGUUCAAAAUUAGUACCUUUGGAUCCAAUUCCUGGACAUUUGUCCUUUUGUUCAAAACACCUGUUUGGAAUUAUAAACAAUUUUGGUAAGUGUUUAAUUAUGAUCCAAGUCAGGCUCAUGUUAAGGACUGUUUGUAUUUAAAUGAGAACUUUGGGCUGUAAGUUAGCCUUUACCAAUUUGUGUGCUAAACUCAGUGUUUGUCCAAAAACAUGACAUUCCAACAGCCUUUUCCGUAUCACAAAUAUCUGAUUGAUUUUACUGUGGAAAGUGACACUUUUCAAAGUAGGUUUCAGCAUCAUUGGUUGGAUUAAUCAAAAACUUUGUUAGUUAUGGUAAUAUUGUUGUCAUUUUUUAGAUCCCUUCUGUCAGUCGGGAAAUACUGAUAAUUCAGCUCUCAUUAAAAGGUUAAAAAAAUCAAUUUUUAUAUUUUAUUAGUUUUUUUGAAUAUUUAGUUCUUUGUAUUCAAAAUUUCAUGGAUAUGAAACAUGAUUAGGAAAUUUUCUAGUCAAACUUGACAUGUAAAUGGCUCUUUCAAUUGAACCACAGUAAACAAAAUUUAAUUCAAGAUUGUAAACAGAGGAUACUGAUAAUCACCAGGGCUUAUGGUUGAUUAGUAAAUAAUGAUUUUGGUUUUAUGGGUAGAGUGUUGGCAAAGACAGGUAGAAGAUAUAAGAUAGCUCAACUCUAACAAUAAUAAUGGUGAAAACCCAUGGACUUCACAAAUGUAAUGGAAAGAUCCACAGGUCUGAAGAUUGAAACUUGAUAUGAUAUAUUUCCUGAAAGGAUUGGCCCACUUCAAAGAUGUGCAAUCCAUGUUAUUACAGAUACUAAUAUUGUAGCUGAUCCACAGACCGUCGAGUAACUGGGCGGCUGCCGUGCUGAUCAAGCCACUAUCCUCUAUUAACCAGACUGUUGAAAUCUGAGAGCAUAUCUCCACUUUCACGUCUUUACAUCAAUCGGUAGAAGAAGUAGUUUGAAAAAUAAUAUCAGUCGUAGCUCAGUGGAAGGCAAUGGCUGUGCAAUCAUUAACUCUUGGGUACGAUCCCCAUGUAGAUUGUGUUGAAAUGUUGUUUACUUUGAUAGAAUGUAAAUGCACCUUGAAGUGGUGUGGAUCAAGUGGAAUAUGGCUAUGUGAAAAAUAAUUGAAAGGAAAAGCUUCAAAUGAAAUUCCAGGAGAUACCCAAAAAGAAACAAAAUCAAAUAUAAAGAUAAUAUGGAUUAAAAACUUUU